This 217-nucleotide ribosomal RNA is filed under the name uncultured bacterium. RNAcentral's name for it is "partial 16S ribosomal RNA". It matches the Rfam family "Bacterial small subunit ribosomal RNA", at positions 133 to 334 of the family's 1533-position model. The record is from RNAcentral.
CCUGUGGGGGAUAACUGUCCGAAAGGAUAGCUAAUACCGCAUUCGUCGCCCGGACCUUUGGGUCUGGUCGGGAAAGCAGGCCUCUCCAUGGAAGCUUGCGCAGUUGGAUGAGCUCGCGGCCCAUCAGCUUGUUGGUAGGGUAAUGGCCUACCAAGGCGAAGACGGGUAGCUGGUCUGAGAGGAUGAUCAGCCACACUGGGACUGAGACACGGCCCAG